GCCCGCCCCCCAUGAGCGAGGGAAAGAAGAAAAACAAAGAAGAGAAGAAGAAGCAGAGCCGGUCUGGAAGAAGCGCGGAAAAGAAACUGAGAGAACCUGGAGAAGGAGGAGGAGGAGGAGAGGCUGAGAAGACGGCGGGGCAGAGUCGAAGUGAGCAGCAUCGCCUACAAACUAUAGAAAAGAGCGGGAGAGCCAGUUCGCCGGCUGGUUGAGACCUGCUGCAGGCUCGGAAAGCAAAGCUGUCUGCCGGUGCUGAAGACAGAGCUGGUGGCCCAAUGAACUGUAUUAAAUAACACAGAGAGUGUGAAGAUGGCAGGUGGAUAUGCCGGUUUGAAGCCAACAACCACAAUGCUGCGGUCCAUGACAACAUGAGAUGUAAACAGUAAGAGGACUGCCCCCACCCAGCAGGGUGCAGCAGACUCAGACAGGGACUCACAGCUGGAGACUGAACCUGAAGAAAACUGCCAAAGGCGGAGACGUGACGUGACGCAGCCCGGACAGCUGAUGGAGACCGAGGCGAUCAGGGCUACACACCACUUAGUGUUUGUCCACAUUAGAUGUUGGACUUUUGCUUCACUCGGAACAAACACCUGUAGCCCUUGGCCUGUUGUCUGCUGUGCUUCCCUCUUUUCCAGGUUAUUAUACAGCAGGUUAUAUAUGCACUUUAUUUGAAGUUAUAAGCUGUUAAAUGCUGUUUUUGUUGAUUUUAUGAGUUGUUGUCAUUUUUGAGGACAGAGACAUGUUGUAGCUCUGAAAAUAAAAUGUAAUAUGUGAAGCCAGA
Molecule: long non-coding RNA, 781 nt
Organism: Acanthopagrus latus (yellowfin seabream)
Lineage: Eukaryota; Metazoa; Chordata; Actinopteri; Spariformes; Sparidae
Exons: 2
Source: RefSeq, a predicted model, not a curated record